This 472-nucleotide ribosomal RNA is filed under the name uncultured bacterium. RNAcentral's name for it is "bacterial SSU rRNA". It matches the Rfam family "Bacterial small subunit ribosomal RNA", at positions 28 to 483 of the family's 1533-position model. The record is from RNAcentral.
GACGAACGCUGGCGGCGUGCUUAAUACAUGCAAGUAGAACGCUGAAGACUUUAGCUUGCUAAAGUUGGAAGAGUUGCGAACGGGUGAGUAACGCGUAGGUAACCUGCCUACUAGCGGGGGAUAACUAUUGGAAACGAUAGCUAAUACCGCAUAACAGCAUUUAACCCAUGUUAGAUGCUUGAAAGGAGCAAUUGCUUCACUAGUAGAUGGACCUGCGUUGUAUUAGCUAGUUGGUGAGGUAACGGCUCACCAAGGCGACGAUACAUAGCCGACCUGAGAGGGUGAUCGGCCACACUGGGACUGAGACACGGCCCAGACUCCUACGGGAGGCAGCAGUAGGGAAUCUUCGGCAAUGGGGGCAACCCUGACCGAGCAACGCCGCGUGAGUGAAGAAGGUUUUCGGAUCGUAAAGCUCUGUUGUAAGAGAAGAACGUGUGUGAGAGUGGAAAGUUCACACAGUGACGGUAACUAC